GGGUUGUGAGGUUAAGCGACUAAGCGUACACGGUGGAUGCCCUGGCAGUCAGAGGCGAUGAAGGGCGUGCUAAUCUGCGAUAAGCGCCGGUAAGGUGAUAUGAACCGUUAUAACCGGCGAUACCCGAAUGGGGAAACCCAGUGUGACUCGUCACACUAUCAUUAACUGAAUCCAUAGGUUAAUGAGGCGAACCGGGGGAACUGAAACAUCUAAGUACCCCGAGGAAAAGAAAUCAACCGAGAUUCCCCCAGUAGCGGCGAGCGAACGGGGAGGAGCCCAGAGCCUGAAUCAGCAUGUGUGUUAGUGGAAGCGUCUGGAAAGGCGCGCGAUACAGGGUGACAGCCCCGUACACAAAAGCGCAUGUGCUGUGAGCUCGAUGAGUAGGGCGGGACACGUGGUAUCCUGUCUGAAUAUGGGGGGACCAUCCUCCAAGGCUAAAUACUCCUGACUGACCGAUAGUGAACCAGUACCGUGAGGGAAAGGCGAAAAGAACCCCGGCGAGGGGAGUGAAAAAGAACCUGAAACCGUGUACGUACAAGCAGUGGGAGCACCCUUUGGGUGUGACUGCGUACCUUUUGUAUAAUGGGUCAGCGACUUAUAUUCUGUAGCAAGGUUAACCGAAUAGGGGAGCCGGAGGGAAACCGAGUCUUAAUUGGGCGUUAAGUUGCAGGGUAUAGACCCGAAACCCGGUGAUCUAGCCAUGGGCAGGUUGAAGGUUGGGUAACACUAACUGGAGGACCGAACCGACUAAUGUUGAAAAAUUAGCGGAUGACCUGUGGCUGGGGGUGAAAGGCCAAUCAAACCGGGAGAUAGCUGGUUCUCCCCGAAAGCUAUUUAGGUAGCGCCUCGUGAAUUCAUCUCCGGGGGUAGAGCACUGUUUCGGCUAGGGGGCCAUCCCGGCUUACCAACCCGAUGCAAACUGCGAAUACCGGAGAAUGUUAUCACGGGAGACACACGGCGGGUGCUAACGUCCGUCGUGAAGAGGGAAACAACCCAGACCGCCAGCUAAGGUCCCAAAGUCAUGGUUAAGUGGGAAACGAUGUGGGAAGGCCCAGACAGCCAGGAUGUUGGCUUAGAAGCAGCCAUCAUUUAAAGAAAGCGUAAUAGCUCACUGGUCGAGUCGGCCUGCGCGGAAGAUGUAACGGGGCUAAACCAUGCACCGAAGCUGCGGCAGCGACGCUUAUGCGUUGUUGGGUAGGGGAGCGUUCUGUAAGCCUGCGAAGGUGGCCUGUGAGGGUUGCUGGAGGUAUCAGAAGUGCGAAUGCUGACAUAAGUAACGAUAAAGCGGGUGAAAAGCCCGCUCGCCGGAAGACCAAGGGUUCCUGUCCAACGUUAAUCGGGGCAGGGUGAGUCGACCCCUAAGGCGAGGCCGAAAGGCGUAGUCGAUGGGAAACGGGUUAAUAUUCCCGUACUUGGUGUUACUGCGAAGGGGGGACGGAGAAGGCUAUGUUGGCCGGGCGACGGUUGUCCCGGUUUAAGCGUGUAGGUGUGUGUUCCAGGUAAAUCCGG
Molecule: ribosomal RNA, 1509 nt
Filed under: Salmonella enterica subsp. enterica serovar Enteritidis
Lineage: Bacteria; Pseudomonadati; Pseudomonadota; Gammaproteobacteria; Enterobacterales; Enterobacteriaceae
Description: partial 23S ribosomal RNA
Rfam family: Bacterial large subunit ribosomal RNA
Source: RNAcentral